Molecule: ribosomal RNA, 482 nt
Filed under: uncultured bacterium
Lineage: Bacteria
Description: partial 16S ribosomal RNA
Rfam family: Bacterial small subunit ribosomal RNA
Source: RNAcentral
GAUGAACGCUAGCGGCAGGCCUAAUACAUGCAAGUCGGACGGGAUUCAGGAGCUUGCUUCUGAUGAGAGUGGCGCACGGGUGCGUAACACGUAUGUAACCUACCUUUAUCAGGGGGAUAGCCUCUCGAAAGAGAGAUUAAGCCCGCAUAAAAUCACAGCACAGCAUUGUGUAAUGAUCAAAUAUUUAUAGGAUAAAGAUGGGCAUGCGGAACAUUAGCUAGAUGGCGGGGUAACGGCCCACCAUGGCGACGAUGUUUAGGGGAUCUGAGAGGAUGGCCCCCCACACUGGGACUGAGAAAAGGACCAGACUCCUACGGGAGGCAGCAGUAAGGAAUACUGGUCAAUGGGAGGAAGCCUGAACCAGCCAUGCCGCGUGCAGGAAGACGGCGUUACGGGUUGUAAACUGCUUUUAGAAGGGAAUAAACCCAGAUACGUGUAUCUGGCUGAAUGUACUGUAAGAAUAAGAACCGGCUAACCCCGUG